This 467-nucleotide ribosomal RNA is filed under the name uncultured bacterium. Its description in RNAcentral is "partial 16S ribosomal RNA". It matches the Rfam family "Bacterial small subunit ribosomal RNA", at positions 28 to 507 of the family's 1533-position model. The record is from RNAcentral.
GACGAACGCUGGCGGCGUGCUUAACACAUGCAAGUCGAACGGAAAGGCCUCGUUCGGGGGGUACUCGAGUGGCGAACGGGUGAGUAACACGUGAGUAUACCGCCCUUUUCUUUGGGGUAACUUUAGGAAACUGGGGGUAAUACCGGAUAGGAGCUCCUGCUGCAUGGGGGGGGGUGGAGAGUUUCGGCGGUUGGGGGUGGGCUCGCGGCGUUUCUCCUUGUUGGUGGGGUAGUGGCUUACCAAGGGUUUGUCGGGUAGGCGGCCCGAGAGGGUGACCGGGCCAAAUGGGACUGGGAUACGGCCCCGGCCCCUACGGGGGGCAGGAGGGGGGAAUAUUGCACAAUGGGUGGGAGGCCGGUGCAGCAAAGCCGGGGGCGGGAAGACGGGCUUUGGGUUGGAAACCGCUUUCGCUCAUGGCGGAGCUUUGUGUGACGGUAGUGGGUAAAGAAGCACCGGCUAACUACGUG